RNAcentral lists this ribosomal RNA (491 nucleotides) under uncultured bacterium. RNAcentral's name for it is "partial 16S ribosomal RNA". It matches the Rfam family "Bacterial small subunit ribosomal RNA", at positions 29 to 507 of the family's 1533-position model. The record is from RNAcentral.
GUGAACGCUGGCGGUAGGCCUAACACAUGCCCGUCGAACGGCAGCACAGUAAGAGCUUGCUCUUACGGGUGGCGAGUGGCGGACGGGUGAGGAAUACAUCGGAAUCUACUUUUUCGUGGGGGAUAACGUAGGGAAACUUACGCUAAUACCGCAUACGACCUACGGGUGAAAGCAGGGGAUCUUCGGACCUUGCGCGAUUGAAUGAGCCGAUGUCGGAUUAGCUAGUUGGCGGGGUAAAGGCCCACCAAGGCGACGAUCCGUAGCUGGUCUGAGAGGAUGAUCAGCCACACUGGAACUGAGACACGGUCCAGACUCCUACGGGAGGCAGCAGUGGGGAAUAUUGGACAAUGGGCGCAAGCCUGAUCCAGCCAUACCGCGUGGGUGAAGAAGGCCUUCGGGUUGUAAAGCCCUUUUGUUGGGAAAGAAAAGCAGCAGGUUAAUACCCCGCUGUUCUGACGGUACCCAAAGAAUAAGCACCGGCUAACUUCGUG